GAUGAAGAACGUAGCGAAAUGCGAUAAGUAAUGUGAAUUGCAGAAUUCAGUGAAUCAUCGAAUCUUUGAACGCACAUUGCGCCCGCCAGUAUUCUGGCGGGCAUGCCUGUUCGAGCGUCAUUACAACCCUCAGGCCCCCGGGCCUGGCGUUGGGGAUCGGCGGAAGCCCCCUGCGGGCACAACGCCGUCCCCCAAAUACAGUGGCGGUCCCGCCGCAGCUUCCAUUGCGUAGUAGCUAACACCUCGCAACUGGAGAGCGGCGCGGCUACGCCGUAAAACACCCAACUUCUGAAUGUUGACCUCGAAUCAGGUAGGAAUACCCGCUGAACUUAAGCAUAUCAAUAAGCGGAGGA
This 353-nucleotide unclassified non-coding RNA is filed under the name soil metagenome. RNAcentral describes it as "partial contains 5.8S ribosomal RNA, internal transcribed spacer 2, and large subunit ribosomal RNA". The stretch from base 1 to 120 matches the Rfam family "5.8S ribosomal RNA", at positions 35 to 154 of the family's 154-position model. The record is from RNAcentral.